GUCCACGCCCUAAACGAUGUCGACUAGGUGUUGGGGAAGGAGACUUCCUUAGUACCGCAGCUAACGCGUGAAGUCGAUCGCCUGGGGAGUACGGUCGCAAGAUUAAAACUCAAAGGAAUUGACGGGGACCCGCACAAGCGGUGGAUGAUGUGGAUUAAUUCGAUGCAACGCGAAAACCUUACCUACCCUUGACAUGUCAGGAAGUCCGCUGAGAGGUGGAUGUGCCCGAAAGGGAGCCUGAACACAGGUGCUGCAUGGCUGUCGU
This 265-nucleotide ribosomal RNA is filed under the name uncultured bacterium. RNAcentral's name for it is "partial 16S ribosomal RNA". It matches the Rfam family "Bacterial small subunit ribosomal RNA", at positions 793 to 1055 of the family's 1533-position model. The record is from RNAcentral.